GUUCAGUGAAGGAACGACAGCUGCUGGCAACAGAACUCCCCAGGUUGACGAUUCAUCUUGAGAAACGCGCCAUGCUGAGCACAUCCAGGCGGCGGCGGUGCACACAGGCUCCACGUGCAAUAGAAACACCAUCAGGAGGUGCUACGGGUGCUGUGCUGCAUUCUGCAACUACAGAAGAACCUGGUUUCUACUGCGUGUUCCACACGUGCCUGUAGAUCCACCAAAAAGGUCAGCUUUUAGGAGAUCUCAAGGCUACCAGAAGUGCCAACGAAAAUCCUAAAAACAGUCUGGUCCUUUGGGAAACAGAAAGCCUCAACUGCCUCACACAACUCACCAGAAAACAAAACGCCUGAAGCUGCUGAGGGUGGAUGAAUCCGAU
This is a long non-coding RNA of Lagopus leucura (white-tailed ptarmigan), 379 nucleotides long. RefSeq lists it as uncharacterized. Lineage: Eukaryota; Metazoa; Chordata; Aves; Galliformes; Phasianidae. The record is from RefSeq and is a predicted model, not a curated record. The transcript is spliced from 3 exons.